Molecule: ribosomal RNA, 253 nt
Filed under: uncultured bacterium
Lineage: Bacteria
Description: partial 16S ribosomal RNA
Rfam family: Bacterial small subunit ribosomal RNA
Source: RNAcentral
UACGGAGGGAGCUAGCGUUAUUCGGAAUUACUGGGCGUAAAGCGCACGUAGGCGGCUUUGUAAGUUAGAGGUGAAAGCCCGGAGCUCAACUCCGGAACUGCCUUUAAGACUGCAUCGCUUGAAUCCAGGAGAGGUGAGUGGAAUUCCGAGUGCAGAGGUGAAAUUCGUAGAUAUUCGGAAGAACACCAGUGGCGAAGGCGGCUCACUGGACUGGUAUUGACGCUGAGGUGCGAAAGCGUGGGGAGCAAACAGG